UUUGGAAUUGCCUCUUUGAUCUUUUAGAGAAUUGUUGGGUUUGUCCAGAUUUGGUAGAGAAGUUUGUCGGUAGAAAAUGGAGAGGGCUUAGUGAUGGAAUCGAUGGAAAGGAAUUGGCAAAUUUUUGAAUACCAGAUUCUGCCCUUUAAUUUGCUAUGGGAUAAGGUGUAUUUAUCGGUUUCUGUAUGGGCUUCUUUUUCAAGGGAUUUUACAGGAGUGUCUUUAGGUGUCAAUUCAACGUUUUUGAAGGGCACUACUUUAUUAUUCCUCUGUCAAUGUUGCUUGUAAUUUUCUGUUGCUCUGG
This 304-nucleotide unclassified non-coding RNA is filed under the name Hevea brasiliensis (rubber tree). Lineage: Eukaryota; Viridiplantae; Streptophyta; Magnoliopsida; Malpighiales; Euphorbiaceae. The record is from RNAcentral.